GCGGAUAUGGUGGUUACAUGGGUUCACCAGGGUUGGUUGAUGAUUUCGAUGCUGUUUUUGGACACGGGAAAAGAAAAGGUUUCGGUAUUAAGAUGUUUGGUGACCUCUGGAAGAAGAAGGGCCACAAUUAAGUGUCAUGUUUUUCCAGCUAAAUGGUCGCUCGCCAUUUUAUGUUUAUUGGCUAAUGCAUGAAUCUUCUUCUUGGCAUCUGGCCAAAACUAAUACUACUUAUGUUGAGUUUAAAUUUAUGUGUUAGCAGUAUCUUAUUUCUUUCUAGUCUUAGCUUGAUGCCUUAACCUGUCAUUCAGGGAAAUGCCUUUAGAUCCAUAGUUUUGGGCGUUUUUUGUGUGGUGGAUGACGAAAUUCUGGUGCAUUGCUUGAGAUUAGUUUUUUGAGCUAGAGUCUAUUAGAAACAACCUCUCUAUCCUUCCCAUAGAGGUAGGGGAAUGUUUGCCUACAUUCUACUCUCCUCGGACUCCACAAUGGGAUUACACAAGCUUUGUUGUUGUUGUUGUUGUUGCUUGAGACUGCAUGCAACACCCAUUCGAAUGUCAACACUUACAUAAAAUGUUAAUCCACAUAUUAGUUUAUGCAGAAAAUACACUAGACGUGAAAUGACACUAGUUGGAGAACCUUGUUAUCAAUGAAAAUGAUUGAAAUUUUGUAUUAAGGUUUAAUUUCACUAAUGACUUUUGCCCAUUGUCAGCUAUUAGAUCACAAGAAGUGACAUUCUUGAGUUCCACAAGAAAUGUAUAUAAACUAAAUCACAGUUUUAGUUUAAGCAAAAGGAGGUAAGCAAAUAAAUGAGGAAGAGAUAGUUUAACAUUUAGCCACAAAAACUUAAACAACAAGGCAAAGUAAAGUUAUCUUCUUAAUGUUUGAAGAUCAAAAGAGAUGUACAUCAGGAGAAAGUGCAGCACUUGUCUAUGAAAUUUAACUUCAUUGACAUAUAUAUUUUUAAUGUUAGCAUAUCAAACAUAUAGCAUAUUUGAAGCAUAUUGCAAUCUAUAUAUUGACUAAGAGGUAAAACGAUCAAGAGAAACUACUACUUCUAGAACUUUCUAAAUCGAAAAACAUGAAUGCAAGCGAUUAAUCACAAAUUGACAGUAAAACAAUGCUUAAACACAAGAAGCAUAACUCGAGCUUAACUUGAACCUUGAUUACACUUAUCUUAAGGCAAUAAUAAAUAAAUAAAUAAAUAAAAUGCUUAAAUUGAAUAAACAAAGAAGAAAGCAUGAAAGAUCUCACUUCCAGAACUCAAAUAAAGAAAGCGGUUAAUCAUCCCCUCAUAAUUAUUGAAUUUAUAUGCAAAAUUUAGACACACACAAGCUAAUCUCGACAGAAUAGUGGGAAAAAAAAGCCAAGAGGAACCAGUAAGUUAAGAAAAACGAAACCAUUAGAAUUUUACAAGAGGAGGUUUAUGGGAAGAGGAGGAAAAAUAAAGAAGUGAAUAACCUGUUUCAGUUAGCUACAUUUUUCAAAAUAUAACAGAUAUCAAACACCCAAGUGUAACAAAUUUUGGUCAAAAUGCAUCCUGUGAUCUGCCCAAAUGUAGCAGUGAAUCAGUCUCAAAUCCGUCCCAAACGACAUAGCUAAGAUAAAUAGCAGCAAAUACUGGGAAUAGGGGAAAAUUAUUGCAACAAAGUAUAUCAUACCAUGAUCAAACAGAGAAAAGAAGAUGAAGUUGCGCCAGUGGUCAUAAGUCAUAACAAUGAAGAAAAUCUGAGAUACUAGACACGACGGUGACGGAAUCACCACAAGACAUAACUUGCAAUUUGUUAUUGGAAUCAACAGUUUAAACAGUCUCAGAAUUACUAGCUACAGGUAAUAGCCAUCAGAAUAAACUUAAAUCAAAUAACAUCAAGUCUUUUCUAUCAAGGCAAAAUUAACCACUGUGUACUAAUCUCACCAAAGAGACUAAAUCAAAAGCAAUUGAACUUUAACAAAGCAAUUGAAAAUUUUCAAAAUAACCUAGAAGACUAAAUCAUAAGAUAAUCAUA
Molecule: long non-coding RNA, 2000 nt
Filed under: Solanum tuberosum (potato)
Lineage: Eukaryota; Viridiplantae; Streptophyta; Magnoliopsida; Solanales; Solanaceae
Description: long non-coding RNA (STUB_LNC003461)
Source: RNAcentral